GUUCGCUUUUUACCUUGUUCCAAAAGUUUGCAACAUGCGGAUUUUCCGCAAUUUUUAGUCCGCACUCACUUGGCUUAGUACCAGUAAUUAAUUAACCACGCCUCUGCAUAUUGGAACAAAUUGCUGAAUAACCUUUUUUAUCAAGCACAUGAUUGUUUCCUGCUUCCCAUCGUUCCCAACGACGUUCACAAAUACAUAUGCGUUUACAUAUUUAAAAAUUCUUGAUAAACCCUAAAAUCUAUAAAAUAAGAAUCACUCAGCAAGUUGAGGCCGAGAAAAGGACACGACAAUUAUUUCGCAUUCGCUUGUCAUAUAUUGGUUCAUACCUGAGAUUCUAAGGCUAAGAAACUUAUUCUUUGCUGGAAACAUGGACCAUGGAGAGAAACAUGAUUUAGUUGCAAAUGGACCCUUAUCCCUCCCAAAAUUGCCCUCACAUCAACAACCUCUCCUUAAAAGGAAGUCUUCAAAUCAGAAAUUCAUCGUGAUCCGAGGCUCAAAAUGUACCCUUCGCUUGGGAAGUUUUAUCGCUUGCGCACUCUUCCUCCUUCUCUUGGCAAUCUUAAUUAUCGGUGCGCUGGAAGCCGUACUAAUCACGCACUAUUUAAUACCCAGGCUACAGUUUGACGUCCGAGGAACAUUAAAGGGAACAAUGAACGGAACCAUGUCGUAUCUACCGGCAGCUAUAAAUCCUGAUUUGGACGUCAAUUUAAAAUUUGUUUUUUAGCCAUUUCUUUAACCCCUAGCCAUGGGAGACCGUUUAAAAACGUUUUAGAGUUUUUGCUUUAAUUCGGGAGACCGUGAAAAGCCGUUCACAAAAAAAGUCUCUGCCUUCGGGGUCAACGGCUUUUCACGUUUUCACGUUUCCAUGUCAGGUGCGGGACAACGGAUAUUUCCGUGGUAAAAAUUAUUUAGCUGAUUCGGGAAACGGUAAAACACGUUGGCACUAAAAACUUAAAUUAUUAGGGCCUUGGUUCAGAAUCGUCCGUGGUAACACUAGGUCACUUUCAUAUAACUUCGCCCCUACUUUGCAUAGGAUGGGUUGCAUGUAAAAUUUUUGACUCUGGUUUACUAACUGCUAAAACUAUUCAAGAAAUUUAUAACGAAGAGUUAUUGAGGCCAAACCACACCCGUCUCGUGUAAUCUUGAUUUUGCCAGGACAUGUUCAUUUUUGCUAAAUUUCAACGUUGAUGAAAAACUAGUGGGAGAAAUUAGUUUAGGGUUUUCCCAGAAGCUCGACAAAUAUUUUAGUUAGUACACCAACUAUCUCAGCUAAUUUAUAUAGGUUCAGGGGAUUAUUUAAGAUACAAAAUAUGAGGUAAAACCAGCGUCGCCAAUAAAUAAAGGGUUAUAUACACCUUCUAUCAAACUCAUAAAUUAUCAAAUUGAUCUCCUCGUCUAGAUUGAGGUCUUGGCUGCAUUUAAAAAUUAAAAUAUACCAAAUGAAUGCAUAUAGUUAGUCAGAACUCUUGAUCCAAGUUAAAAAAAAACCUUAUGUAGAUCCACAAACAUGUGUGGUUUGGGACCAAUAGCUCUAUUUUACAAAUGUCUUGAGUAGUUUUGCAUAGUCAUAAUUUUGCACCAAAGUCAUAGUUCUUGACUCUAAUUAUCAUGCAACUUUGCUUUACAAUGUUACACGUAAAUUUUAAUACUCAUCAUUUAAAAUAUGAUAUUUAUUGACGUUGUCCCGCAGUCAAUUUUCUCCUAACGUGUUUUGCCGUUCUCCCGAAUUGAGCAUUUAUAAAAUCCUCCCGAAUCUAAGCAACUCAUAUAUUAAAAGUUCCCAGAUUUAGAACUUGCGAUAUUUUAAUUAUUUUUUGGCUUCCCGAAUGAUCACAAUUGUGGUCAUCGUUUCGAUGACCACGCAGCAACGCCAAACAUAGUUACCGUUUUUCCUCGGCUAAGGGUUAAUAUCUUGUCCUCAGUUUAAUACAUUUUUUUAUUUUUAAUAGAGCGUACUCACGACAACCUUCGCAUAUCUCGAUUUUUUCGCAAAUUACGUAUAACAAAAUAUCUUAUAAUGCUUACAAAAUAUGCGAUAUUUCACAAAACCUUUAGUGGAAAUAAUUGAAUCUUCUUCGCAAGUUUACCUAGAAAAUAAGCUUGUUUUUGUCGUGAGUUCGCUCAGAGUAAUCUAUAAAUUUUUUAAGUUGAAAGUGCUUACAUAAAUCCUUAAAGUAAAAUAAAAAUCUUUGCAAAAAUUUGUACCAUA
Long non-coding RNA from Folsomia candida, 2209 nucleotides. RefSeq lists it as uncharacterized. Lineage: Eukaryota; Metazoa; Arthropoda; Collembola; Entomobryomorpha; Isotomidae. The record is from RefSeq and is a predicted model, not a curated record. The transcript has 2 exons.